AACGAACGCUGGCGGCAUGCCUAACACAUGCAAGUCGAACGAGACCUUCGGGUCUAGUGGCGCACGGGUGCGUAACGCGUGGGAACCUGCCUUUAGGUUCGGAAUAACUCAGAGAAAUUUGACCUAAUACCGGAUGAUGUCUUCGGACCAAAGAUUUAUCGCCUUUAGAUGGGCCCGCGUUGGAUUAGCUAGUUGGUGGGGUAAAGGCCUACCAAGGCGACGAUCCAUAGCUGGUCUGAGAGGAUGAUCAGCCACACUGGGACUGAGACACGGCCCAGACUCCUACGGGAGGCAGCAGUGGGGAAUAUUGGACAAUGGGCGAAAGCCUGAUCCAGCAAUGCCGCGUGAGUGAUGAAGGCCUUAGGGUUGUAAAGCUCUUUUACCCGAGAUGAUAAUGACAGUAUCGGGAGAAUAAGCGCCGGCUAACUCCGUG
This 433-nucleotide ribosomal RNA is filed under the name uncultured bacterium. Its description in RNAcentral is "partial 16S ribosomal RNA". It matches the Rfam family "Bacterial small subunit ribosomal RNA", at positions 29 to 507 of the family's 1533-position model. The record is from RNAcentral.